AGGGUUCGAUUCUGGCUCAGGACGAACGCUGGCGGCGUGCUUCAUACAUGCAAGUCGAACGAUAAGGCGCCUUCGGGCGUACAUAAGUGGCGGACGGGUGAGUAAUAUGUAGAGAAUCUGCCCUAGAGCGGGGGACAACCGUUGGAAACGACAGCUAAUACCCCCAUAUGAGCGUAGUUGAAAUACUAUUCUUGAAAACUCCGGUGCUCUGGGAUGAGUCUGCAUCUGAUUAGCUAGUUGGGGGUGUAAUGGACCACCAAGGCGAUGAUCAGUAGCUGGUUUGAGAGGAUGAUCAGCCACAAUGGGACUGAGACACCGGCCCAUACUCCUACGGGAGGCAGCAGGUAGGGUAAUUUUGCGCAAGUACGGGGAAACCCUGAACCGCAGCAACGCCGCGUGACCGAUGAACGUCCCGUUCGGGGUAGUAAAGGUCUGUCAGUGGGGACGAAUUUUGACGGUACCCACAGAGGAAGCACCGGCUAACUCCGUGCCAGCAGCGGC
This 501-nucleotide ribosomal RNA is filed under the name uncultured bacterium. Its description in RNAcentral is "bacterial SSU rRNA". It matches the Rfam family "Bacterial small subunit ribosomal RNA", at positions 8 to 518 of the family's 1533-position model. The record is from RNAcentral.